GGAGAGAUGGCUGAGUGGCCGAAAGCGGCACCCUGCUAAGGUGUUAUAUCCAUUAGGGUAUCGAGGGUUCGAAUCCCUCUCUCUCCGCCA
This 90-nucleotide transfer RNA is filed under the name Magnetococcales bacterium. RNAcentral describes it as "tRNA-Ser". It matches the Rfam family "tRNA". From Rfam's summary of the family: Transfer RNA (tRNA) molecules are approximately 80 nucleotides in length. Their secondary structure includes four short double-helical elements and three loops (D, anti-codon, and T loops). The record is from RNAcentral. Lineage: Bacteria; Pseudomonadati; Pseudomonadota; Magnetococcia; Magnetococcales.